Erigeron canadensis is the source of this 1240-nucleotide RNA transcript. It is a transcript of the gene named endonuclease V, with no coding region annotated. The record is from RefSeq and is a predicted model, not a curated record. NCBI's taxonomy places the organism in Eukaryota, Viridiplantae, Streptophyta, Magnoliopsida, Asterales, Asteraceae. The transcript is spliced from 9 exons.
ACACACAUCCAACACCGGCUCUUUCAAAAUAUCUUCUAAGAAAUAAACGACCUAGCUAGGUCUCGACUGAAUGGAGACAAAAUGGAUUCAGGAUCAAGAGUCAUUAAAGAAGAAUCUGAUAACAGAAGAUGAUUACACUUGGAAAUUAGAAGACGACGACAGUAAAAAUAAUGGAGUUGAAUUAUUAUUAUUGAAAUAUAUAGGUGGAGUUGAUAUAAGUUUUUCAAAACAUGAUCCCUCUGUAGCUUGUGGAACUCUAGUUGUUUUGGAAUUCAAUACCUUAAACGUUGUUUACGAGGAUUCCGUUGUCGUUAAAAUCGAUGUUCCGUAUGUUGCUGGUUUUCUUGCCUUCAGAGAGGCUCCAAUAUUUCUGCAACUUUUGAAGAAAAUGCAGAAUGGUGCUCAUCCUUUCUACCCUCAGUUGUUGAUGAUUGAUGGAAAUGGAAUACUUCAUCCUCGAGGGUUUGGCUCAGCUUGCCAUCUUGGGGUUCUGGCUAAUCUUCCUACAAUUGGCAUAGGGAAGAAUUUGCAUCACGUGGAUGGUCUUACUAACUCCAGAGUAAGGGAGCUUCUGGAAGCGGAAGAGAACUUCAGUGUAGACUACAUCCCUUUAAUUGGGGACUCGGGCAACACUUUGGGAGGGGCAAUACUUUCAAGUAAAGGAUCAUUUAAACCAAUAUUUGUUUCAGUUGGUCACCGUAUAUCUCUUGAUUCUGCUGUUAAAGUUGUAAAAAGAACAUGCAAAUACCGUGUGCCAGAGCCUAUUAGGCAGGCUGACAUAAGAUCAAGAGACUGUCUACAGAAGCAUCAUUAAAUCAGUUGUAGAUGGUGUAACUGCAUUUUACCUACUUGGAGGUCCUUAAUUAGUUGAUUUAAAUGCACCCUUGUUUUCUGUUAGCAAAACAUUAGAAGUGAAUUGGCCAAGAAUGGCAAUGUCUCAAAUACCGAGUAGUAUUUUUAUCACAGGAGCUGCCCAAUAAAUCGAGGAAACGACUUUAUACUUCUCAGACUGGACCAUACCAGCCGACUAAACACGAUUUGACCAAAGAGGUGAGUUUUGAUGAUUGGAUCUAUACCCCAAAGUGUGAUAUGGUCAACUGAACAAAGAGGUGAGUAAAAAUGAUGUAUUUAGCCAAACAUAUAUCAAUAACAUUGUAACAAGGAGAAAUCUUCAAAAUCUCAACUAAAAAGAGCCUUUAUGUUCUUUUUUCCGCAAAAAAAGGGUCCUAUUUUAUUCUAA